GCCAAAACGCGCUCGACUUAAUCCAACAAGGAAGUGGACCGUUCCGCAGGAGAAGGCUUUAAUAGAGUUCUUAAUGGAGAAUCGCGGUUUGGAAAAACCUUCAACGAAUGUCUUGUACAAGCGUUUCUAUGAGGAAAAGAAAUUUUCAAUGGAUUGGACGUAGGUGCGCUCAAAAGUUAGAAACAUGCGUGUUAACUACAAAAAAGCGAAGGCAUGGGAGGGAUACUGGGAUACUGUUAAAGCCACUUCGAUGAACUCGACGAUUUAUUUGGAAGCAGAAUCAUAAAAUGUUCUAUUAUUGAAGACACCAAGGCGAAUUCAGAUAAGGUGGUGUUAUUCAAUCAGCUGAUUAUUUUUUCUUCACUUAACUGGUGGUGUUAUUCAAUCAGCUGAUUAUUUUUUCUUCACUUAACUGGUACGCACUGAUGUCAGAGUUUGUUAUUGUUUACAUUUUUACAUUUAAAAAUUUCCGUUAAAACACAGAAAAACUUCGUUAGUAUUUUGAAUAAUUUAUGUAAAAAAUUUGAAAAUACCAAGCAUUUUGUAAACGAAUAUAACAAUAAUAUUUUUCUAUUAAAUUUUAAUAAAUUAAACAAUAUUGUUUUAUAUUUUAUAUUUACACUUUGUAGAUAACGCAAUUAACUAAAGAAUUAUGUUCCGGAACACUUUAUGUAAAAAACCCACAUGAGUUAUUUACCCGACCGGCGGCAGCUGUCUUCUACAUUAUGGUCAAAUUUUGAGAUCUAAAUGAAAAGUUAAUAAAUUGUUUUAUAUUUACACUGUGUAUAUAAUGUGAUUAACUAAUAAAAUUCUGUUACGGAACUCAUUUUAUAACAAACCCGAUAUGAGGUAUUUAUCCGACCGGCGGCAGCUGACUACAACGUUUAAAUCUUAAAAAUUACUCCGCCGGAGUAGAAUUUUCCAUUCACAACAAAGAUUCUUUCAUUCGGUUUUACAUUCGUAUGUUUAUUUUUCACAAAAAUAUUAAUUUUACAUAAUUUUGGGCAAAAACUUAAGUUUUGUAAAAUUAAUGUGGUGGUUUUAGAUUGGCAGGAUCAAGUGGGUUGGUUUUAGAUUGGCAGGAUCAAGUGAGUUGGUUUUAGAUUGGCAGGAUCAAGUGAGUUGGUUUGUCAAAAUAACAAAAGUAAAUUAAUUAAAGAGUUUGUUUUGUAACCGGCAGUGUUUGCCGUUGGCUACGCUAUUGCUUUUGCCGAUCUUACCUUAAUAAGGGCAAAAGGAGAUUUUCUGAAUAAAAUUCAAGGCAAUGUAGUUGCCGAUUUGAGUCUUAGUCUUAAUCUGUUUUAUUUGUGGCCAAGGGGCUCUUUUUAUAUAUAAUUUACAUAUCUUCUUUACUAUUCUAACUUAUUCUAAUUUACAUUCUAUCUUGCUUAAUCCUAUUCCAUACAUGCACUUAUUCUAAUUUCGACAGUUGCAACUUGAAGAGUUGACCAAUCAGGUUGUCUUCAAAUUGGGGAAUUGAGUGACUUUAAUAAUGUCACUCAAACACCAAUAUGAUCCCUUUAAGCAUUCGUCACAUUUCAUUCAAGUGCAGCUUGAUCGAUUUUGUUUAUGUUUGGAGUGUGCGGUGUAUGUGUACGUGUGUGUGUUGAUGUUUUUGUACAGUGGUGUGUAAUGCAAGAGCACACUACACCCUCGCCCUUAAGAGAAAAAUUAGGGGAUUGAUUUUUCUAAG
Molecule: long non-coding RNA, 1693 nt
Organism: Lucilia sericata (common green bottle fly)
Lineage: Eukaryota; Metazoa; Arthropoda; Insecta; Diptera; Calliphoridae
Exons: 3
Source: RefSeq, a predicted model, not a curated record